This 301-nucleotide ribosomal RNA is filed under the name uncultured bacterium. Its description in RNAcentral is "partial 16S ribosomal RNA". It matches the Rfam family "Bacterial small subunit ribosomal RNA", at positions 509 to 807 of the family's 1533-position model. The record is from RNAcentral.
CAGUAGCCACGGUAAUACGAAGGGUGCAAGCGUUACUCGGAAUUACUGGGCGUAAAGCGUGCGUAGGUGGUGGUUUAAGUCCGUUGUGAAAGCCCUGGGCUCAACCUGGGAAUUGCAGUGGAUACUGGGUCACUAGAGUGUGGUAGAGGAUAGUGGAAUUUCCGGUGUAGCAGUAAAAUGCGUAGAGAUCGGAAGGAACAUCUGUGGCGAAGGCGACUAUCUGGGCCAACACUGACACUGAGGCACGAAAGCGUGGGGAGCAAACAGGAUUAGAUACCCCAGUAGUCCCUGUCUCUUAUAC